RNAcentral lists this transfer RNA (76 nucleotides) under Candidatus Chloroploca asiatica. Its description in RNAcentral is "tRNA-Arg". It matches the Rfam family "tRNA". Rfam says of the family: Transfer RNA (tRNA) molecules are approximately 80 nucleotides in length. Their secondary structure includes four short double-helical elements and three loops (D, anti-codon, and T loops). The record is from RNAcentral. Lineage: Bacteria; Bacillati; Chloroflexota; Chloroflexia; Chloroflexales; Oscillochloridaceae. RNAcentral also lists the same sequence under 3 other names.
GGGCCGGUAGCUCAGGGGAUAGAGCUGCAGUCUUCGGAACUGCGAGUCGGGGGUUCGAAUCCCUCCCGGCCCGCCA